Molecule: ribosomal RNA, 256 nt
Filed under: uncultured bacterium
Lineage: Bacteria
Description: partial 16S ribosomal RNA
Rfam family: Bacterial small subunit ribosomal RNA
Source: RNAcentral
UACGGAGGGUGCGAGCGUUGUCCGGAAUCAUUGGGCGGAAAGGGCGCGUAGGUGGCCCGGUCAGUUCGUGGUGAAAGCGCGGGGCUCAACCCUGCGUCGGCCAUGAAUACUGCCGCGGCUCGAGCACUGUAGAGGCAGGCGGAAUUCCGGGUGUAGCGGUGGAAUGCGUAGAGAUCCGGAAGAACACCGGUGGCGAAGGCGGCCUGCUGGGCAGUUUUGCUGACACUGAGGCGCGACAGCGUGUGGAGCAAACAGG